Molecule: non-coding RNA, 137 nt
Organism: Peromyscus maniculatus bairdii (prairie deer mouse)
Lineage: Eukaryota; Metazoa; Chordata; Mammalia; Rodentia; Cricetidae
Source: RefSeq, a predicted model, not a curated record
GGAGUCUUUCUACUCUUGGAUUCUUUAAGAAACCAUUCAUGAUUAUGUCUGAUAUUUGGAUCAUGGUUUGAGCACACCCGUGCCUGGCUAUCCAUGAGAGAAAGCGACAACUUCCUGCUACUGAGCUAUGAAGACAU